CAUAAACAAUAUGGAGUAUACAAUUAAGUAAUAAAAGGGAUUCGUAAGGAUACCUAGCAGAUAUAUUUAAAAGGAUAUAUUUAUAAAAAGUUGAAGUUACUAAUUUGAAUACUUUAACAAUCCUAAGGAAAACCAAUAUAAUAAAAUACGUUGGGAAUUAAAACAUUUAAGUACCAAUAGGAAAGGAAAUCAAACGAGACUUCUGGAGUAAUGGUGAGUGAAACAGAAUAAGCCUUAUUCUAGAAUUAUUAUGUUAUUUUCACUAUUGUAAGAUAGUGAAGUAGGACUUAUUAAUAUUGUGGAAUUCAAUAUUAUACUGUGUUAUAAACAUGGUUACCAAAGACGGUGACAGUCCGGUGAUAAUCAUCUAAUUAUUAGUGAUAGUCCUAUUAAUAAUUUUAGAAUGAAAUAAAGUAAUAUGGAGACGGCUGCUCUGUAUGAAUUUAUCUAUCUAAGAAAUUAGAUAAUGGGAUACCAUUCUCAAAGGCUAAGUAUAAUAUAUCUAGCGAUAGUGAAGAGUAACGUGAGUGAAAGGUGAAAAGUAAGUGUAUGACUAGUGAAAGAGAUCUUGAAUUACGAAUCCUACAAGCAGUUAGAGUCUAAUAGAAUUAGAUGAUAACGUACCUUUUGCAUAAUGGGUCAGCAAGUUAAUUUUCAAUGCAAGACUAAUUAGUCCUAGUGAAAACGUCUAUGUGUUAUUUUCUAAUACAUGGGUAGAGUAUUGAGAAUUAGAUCCGAAACCAGAUGAUCUUUUUAUGACCAGGUUUAAAAGGACCGAACGUAUGAAUGUUGCAGUAUUCUGCGAUGAGUUGUGAAAAGGGGUAAAAUGCCAAUCUAAUCUGGUGAUAGCUGAUAUUCUGCGAAAUCUAUUUUAGUAGAAAGUAUAUGUAGAUAUAUUUCUGUAUAGCACUGAUUUCCAUUUCUCGUAGUCUUAUUAGGCUACAUAUAGAAUAAAUUAGGGGGUUAUAAACUCUACUAUUGGAAGUUAACCUCAGAAGGAGAUACUAUCGGUCAUAUACUGACAGUCUAUUUGUGAUAAGGUAAAUAGACAAAAGGGAAACAGCCCAGAUCAUAUAUUAAGGUACCCUAAAUAAUAUUAAGUGAAAAUAAGAGAGUUUUGUGUUCAAGACAGCUAUGAAGUAAGCUUGGAAGUAGCUAUCUUUUAAUGAAAGUGUAACAACUCAAUAGUCGAUUUUCUGGACACAAAGCAUCGAAGAUUUAUCGGGUCUAGAUAUUAAACCUAAAUUAUGAUAUUAAUGAAUUCAUUGUAUUUUCUUAUUUGAAUUCUUAAUAAGGUAGCAGAACACUUAGUAGUUAGGUUGAAGAAUAUUCUUAAGAAUAUUUGGACUCUACUAAAGAGAGAAUGCUGGCAUGAGUAACGAUUAAGAAGUUAAAAUACUUCUCGCCGAAUACGAAAGGUUUUCAUGAAAAAGGUAAUCUGUCAUGAUUUACACGGAUUCUAAGGUGUAAUAUACGAAUUGUUAUUACCCGAUGAAAUAGAAGAAUACUAUUCCUGAAGUAGUAGUAAGGAACAAGAAAAAUAUUCUUUUAAUUUAAUUAUAUCCGUACCUUAAACCGACACAGGUUCGUAGGUAGAGUAUACUAAGGCGUAGAGAUAAGGCUAGUGAAGGAACUCGGCAAAAUGCUUCCGUAAGUUCGACGAUAAGGAAGGAGUGUAUAUUUACUAUACACUUAGCAUAAAAGUGGGGGCUUCGACUGUUUACUAAAAACACAGCAACUUGCUAAGACUAGAAGUACUUGUAUAAGUUGUGAACUCUGUCCAAUGCCAAUCCGUGUAAGGGAGGUGAUUUUAGCAUUAAGCUAAUUGUCACUAACUGAUGCGGUGGUCAAUGACGGUCUUAACCAUAAGGAUCUGAAAGUAGCAUAUAAUAUUGUUCAAAUAUAAUCGCUGCUCCUGUUACGUUUCGUAUGUCAUUUACGAAAGCUGAGCCAUUACUCAGUAAGUAACUUGAAUUCUUCUAUAUGCUGGAAUAUCCUAAAGUCAUCUGUGUUAUUAUCUUUUGAUAAUUAAAUUAAUGGUAACACUACAUGAAUGAUUAUUAUAUAAUAAUUUAAGAUAUAAUAUGAAAUGGACAAUCAGCAGGAAACCAAAUUAUCUGUAUUUUUAGAUAAAAGUAGGAUCCUCAGAGACUACACGAAGAAGAUAUUAUCACAUUAAAUAUGAAUGACAAAUAAUCUAAAAUAAAAAAAAUAAUGAAAAAAGUAUAGAAAAUUCAUCCUGCUUGGCUAUCUGGAUUUAUUGAUGGAGAAGGAACAUUCUCUAUUGAUAUUCUAAAAAAUAAUACGGUAGCUCUAAAUUAUCAAGUACAACUUCGGUUUGUACUUACUCAACAUAUUCGAGAUAAAGAACUAAUGUAUGCAAUUAAGGAUUUUCUUGGUUGUGGUACAAUGGUUAAGGAUACUGAACUAAAACUACAGCUACGUAUCCGAUCUCUAAAAGAUCUAGAGAAUAAACUAUUUCCAAUUCUGGAUGCAUAUCCUCUUCAAACUCAAAAAUAUCUUGAUGAACAAGUGUUCCGUCAAGUAUUUGUUAUGAUGAAGAAUGGAGAACAUCUAACAAUUGAAGGACUAAAUAAAAUUCGAUAUCUAAAAUCAACUAUGAAUCGCAGGACGAAUGCUUAUUUAUAAAAAUAAUAUUUUAGAUUAUUUUGAUAAUAUUAUGAUAUAGUCCAACAUUAUACGAAAGUAUAAUGAGUAUCAGAGCGAAAUUCCUUGGCCAUUAAAUGUGGUCCUGCAUGAAUGAGGUAACGCGGCCCUGCUGUCUCCACUAGCUCCUCAGUGAAAUUGAAUUA
This 2813-nucleotide ribosomal RNA is filed under the name Malassezia furfur. RNAcentral's name for it is "bacterial LSU rRNA". The stretch from base 23 to 1964 matches the Rfam family "Bacterial large subunit ribosomal RNA". Lineage: Eukaryota; Fungi; Basidiomycota; Malasseziomycetes; Malasseziales; Malasseziaceae. The record is from RNAcentral.